GAGGAUGUGGCUCAGUGGUAGAGUGCUUGCCUAGCAUGCAAGAGGCCCUGGGUUCAAUCCUCAGCACCUCA
This 71-nucleotide transfer RNA is filed under the name Dipodomys ordii (Ord's kangaroo rat). It matches the Rfam family "tRNA". From Rfam's summary of the family: Transfer RNA (tRNA) molecules are approximately 80 nucleotides in length. Their secondary structure includes four short double-helical elements and three loops (D, anti-codon, and T loops). Further hydrogen bonds mediate the characteristic L-shaped molecular structure. tRNAs have two regions of fundamental functional importance: the anti-codon, which is responsible for specific mRNA codon recognition, and the 3' end, to which the tRNAs corresponding amino acid is attached (by aminoacyl-tRNA synthetases). tRNAs cope with the degeneracy of the genetic code in two manners: having more than one tRNA (with a specific anti-codon) for a particular amino acid; and 'wobble' base-pairing, i.e. permitting non-standard base-pairing at the 3rd anti-codon position. Lineage: Eukaryota; Metazoa; Chordata; Mammalia; Rodentia; Heteromyidae. The record is from Rfam by way of RNAcentral.